AUGGCGCCGCUGCUCAAGGACGAGCUGGACAUCGUCAUCCCGACGAUCCGGAACCUGGACUUCCUCGAGAUGUGGAGGCCCUUCUUCCAGCCGUACCACCUCAUCAUCGUGCAGGACGGCGACCCCACGAGGACCGUCAUGGUGCCCGAGGGCUUCGACUACGAGCUCUACAACCGCAACGACAUCAACCGCAUCCUCGGCCCCAAGGCCUCCUGCAUCUCCUUCAAGGACUCCGCCUGCCGCUGCUUCGGCUACAUGGUCUCCAAGAAGAAGUACGUCUACACCAUCGACGACGACUGCUUCGUGGCCAAGGACCCGACGGGGAAGGACAUUGACGCGCUGGCCAAGCACAUCCAGAACCUGCUCUGCCCCUCCACGCCGCUCUUCUUCAACACCCUGUACGACCCCUACCAGGAGGGCGCCGACUUCGUGCGCGGCUACCCGUUCAGCCUCCGGGAGGGCGUGCCCACCGCCGUGUCGCACGGCCUCUGGCUCAACAUCCCCGACUACGACGCCCCCACGCAGCUGGUCAAGCCGCGGGAGCGCAACGGCAGGUACGUCGACGCCGUCAUGACCAUCCCCAAGGGCUCCCUCUUCCCCAUGUGCGGCAUGAACCUCGCCUUCGACCGCGAGCUCAUCGGCCCGGCCAUGUACUUCGGCCUCAUGGGCGACGGCCAGCCCAUCGGACGCUACGACGACAUGUGGGCCGGCUGGUGCGUCAAGGUGAUCUGCGACCACCUUGGGCUGGGCGUCAAGACGGGGCUGCCCUACAUCUGGCACAGCAAGGCCAGCAACCCGUUCGUGAACCUGAAGAAGGAGUACAAGGGCAUCUUCUGGCAGGAGGACAUCAUCCCCUUCUUCCAGGCCGCGAAGCUGACCAAGGAAUGCGACACCGUGCAGAAGUGCUACAUCUCGCUCUCGCAGCAGGUCAAGGAGAAGCUCGGCAAGAUCGACCCCUACUUCGUCAAGCUCGCCGACGCCAUGGUCACCUGGAUCGAGGCCUGGGACAUGCUCAACUCCAAGGACUCCAAGGAGGCCGAUGCCAACGGCAAGCUCAAGGGGAGGUAG
Molecule: ribosomal RNA, 1068 nt
Filed under: Triticum aestivum (bread wheat)
Lineage: Eukaryota; Viridiplantae; Streptophyta; Magnoliopsida; Poales; Poaceae
Description: partial small subunit ribosomal RNA
Source: RNAcentral